UCAGUUGGCUGGACGGCCGCUGCCGGCCGGGGCGUUAUGGCCCACGUACAACGCGCUGGUGGAGGAAAGUCCGGGCUCCAUGGAAACAGGAUGGCGGUUAACGGCCGCCGGGGGCGACCCCAGGGAAAGUGCCACAGAAAAUAGACCGCCCGAGGGCUUGCCCGAGGGUAAGGGUGAAACGGUGUGGUAAGAGCGCACCGCGGUUCCGGUAACGGCGCCGGCACGGCAAACCCCAUCCGGUGCAAGACCAAAUAGGGAUGGCCGGCAGGUGGAGAAAUCCAGCCUGCAAGCCCGUUUCCAGGCCCGCCAUCCGGGUUGGUUGCUCGAGGCGUCCAGCGAUGGGCGUCCCAGAUGAAUGGCCGUCGCGGAGGCAACUCCAGACAGAACCCGGCUUACAGGCCAACUGACAUU
Molecule: RNase P RNA, 411 nt
Filed under: Hyphomicrobium sp.
Lineage: Bacteria; Pseudomonadati; Pseudomonadota; Alphaproteobacteria; Hyphomicrobiales; Hyphomicrobiaceae
Description: RNase P RNA component class A
Rfam family: Bacterial RNase P class A
About the family: Ribonuclease P (RNase P) is a ubiquitous endoribonuclease, found in archaea, bacteria and eukarya as well as chloroplasts and mitochondria. Its best characterised activity is the generation of mature 5'-ends of tRNAs by cleaving the 5'-leader elements of precursor-tRNAs. Cellular RNase Ps are ribonucleoproteins.
Source: RNAcentral